AGUCCUCACUGCGCCAGCCCUGCCCUCCACACCCCCCUGGGCUUUCCCGGAGACCCGCCCUCUUCCAGCCCGCACCACAAAAGGCUGUGCCGCUUCAGCACCGCCCCCUGCCCAAACGUCGCAGUGCUGCGGGGCAAGGAGGCGGAGUCGGGCGCCGUCUUCCCGCUCCUCGACCAAUCGGCGAGGGCCCCCCCCACGAAAAACACGACGCUGAAGACAGUGCGAGUAUUUUUCCCUUAUUCUGCCACGUCCCAACCAUUGACGCGAGCCCACUCCUCAGGCUCCCAUUGGGCGUGCGCGUUUAGCCCCCGGCAGAGGCUCCUGAUUCCUAUUGGCCGGCUAGAGCUCGGGGGCGGGGUCCGCGCGCCGUGCUCCGCCUCCUCCUCCUCCCCACCGUGUCCGCCGCCGCGCAAGGGGCGGGACGCGCCGCCGCCACCUCUGCUUCCGCCGCCGCCGCUACCGCCGCCGCGCCGCCGCCGCCGCCGCCGCCGUGCCGCCGCCGCAGCCGCCUGCUGCUGCGCGUUCGGCGGGGGAGGAGUCGGAGGCGGAGAAGAAGGCGGUGGUGGCGGGUGGAGGAUCGAGCGCUGUUCUCGCUCCGGAGCCGCUGCACAUUUCGGUGAGGGGCUUUUUUUUUUUCUCCUCUCCUUUUUUUUUUUUUUUUUUUCUUUUAAAAAUCGGGCUUGUUCGGAUGUCAGCAGUGUGGGGGUCGGGGCGAGGAAAUGGCUGCCUUCAUCUGCCGUUCUUGCCUCUCUGGAGCAGGAGCGGGGCCUGUCCCCGGCCCGCAGCGCCGGCCAUGUGCUGAUGCCUCCCCCAAUGGCCUGGAGGAUGAAGGUACCGAAGGCACGGUGAUCACUGGUGGUGCAACCAUCACUUGCAGGAAACUGGAUUACAGGAAAUCAAAGGCAAACAUGAAGAACAGAGCCCAGAAAGGGUAAAUCCUUUCAUGAUAGGUGCUGCAGAACAAAUCAAGCACAACCUUACUAAUUUAAAAAACCUACCAGUUCCGGGCCAGCAUUGUAGGUGCAGUGGCUGCAAUGUGGGCAUCCCAUAUGAGUGCCUGUUCCAGCUGUGCCUGGCUUGUGUCUGGCUCUGUCCCGGUGGCUGGGGCCGUUGGGGGUGAACCAGCAGAUGGAAGAUCUAUCACUUACUGGCUUGCUCUUUCACAUAUACAAUAUAAAUAAUUCUUAAACGAAAUUGCCAGUUCAGUAUUCGUGACAGCAUGAACCAGGAUGUCCUGGUUGCUUUGUUAGACUACUUUGAGGAUGGCGUGACCCCAUUUAUAUUGUCUUUAAGGCUGGUUUAGAGAUGGAAAAAUAUUAAUUUUGGCAGUUACUUUGGAUCUAUCACUGCCCAUCAUGACUGGCUGCUGCUCGUCAUCCACACAGCACUGUCCGAAGUGUUAUUUUGAGCUCUGCAUUUAUUUUGACUGUGAUUUACUUGGAGUGGAGGCAUUGCUUUUAAGGAAAAAGCAUUGUCAUAUAGGUUGUCUAAAAAUAAAAUGCAUUUAAGCUUUAAAAAAGACCUCUUU
Molecule: long non-coding RNA, 1528 nt
Filed under: Oryctolagus cuniculus (rabbit)
Lineage: Eukaryota; Metazoa; Chordata; Mammalia; Lagomorpha; Leporidae
Description: lncRNA (ENSOCUG00000029824.1)
Source: RNAcentral